RNAcentral lists this ribosomal RNA (978 nucleotides) under Parachtes romandiolae. RNAcentral describes it as "16S ribosomal RNA". Lineage: Eukaryota; Metazoa; Arthropoda; Arachnida; Araneae; Dysderidae. The record is from RNAcentral.
UAAAUACAUUAUAUACAACAAAAUACUAUUUAUAAUUUUCUAAAAAUAAAUUAUCAUUAAACUGAACAGGCUACUUAAUUACCAUAGUAUUCCUUUUGUAUCAGGAUAAUAUUAAUAAUUUUAAUCAUUUAAAAAUCCCGAAUUUAAUAGAACUAAUUACAUUAAACCAACCUGUAACACAAAUUACUUAAAAUAUAAUUAGAAACUAAACAUCAAACGAAAUUAAAAAUAUCUGGUUAUUUACACACAACAUAUAAAGAACAAUCACUUUACCUUAUUUUUUAAAAAUAAAUCUUUAUUAAAACUAAUAGUAUUUAUACAGUAUCACAACUAAUCUACUUAUUUAAAUAAUAAUUAACAAAAAUCCCCCAUUAAUAAUAUCGUUACUUUAUAAAUAAGUAAUUUUAAAAUUUAAUUUUUACUAAAAAACUAAGUUUUAUAAAAUAGACUGUUUAACAAAAACAUAACUUUUAGAUUUUACUAAAAGCGCCUCCUGCUCCAUGAUCCUAAAUAGCCGCAGAUUUCCUGUGCUAAGGUAGCAUAAUCACUUGUCUUUUAAUUUAAGAAUAGUAUGAACGGAAAAACUAUUUUUUACUGUUUCAAUAUAAAGUAAUAAAAUUACCUUAAAAGUAAAAAUCCUUCUAAAACAAGAAAGACGACAAGACCCUAACAAACUUUACUAAAGUUAAGCUGGGGCAGCUUUUUAAAAAAAUCUUAAUAAACAUCAACUUAUAAUAUUAAAUCAAUGUUACUGUAGGGAUAACAGCAUAAUUUUAUUAGAAAGCUCUUAUAAAAAAUAAAGAUUAUGACCUCGAUGUUGAAUUAAAUGUCUACAAUAAGUAAAAAAAUUGCAAGAAAGUCUGUUCGACUUUUAAAAAUUUACAUGAUUUGAGUUCAGACCGGUGUAAGCCAGGUCGGUUUCUAUCUUCUUUUAAUAAACCCCAGUACGAAAGGACCAUGUUUUAAACUAAUAACUAU